This 1236-nucleotide unclassified non-coding RNA is filed under the name Tolpis succulenta. Its description in RNAcentral is "partial external transcribed spacer". The record is from RNAcentral. Lineage: Eukaryota; Viridiplantae; Streptophyta; Magnoliopsida; Asterales; Asteraceae.
GAUAGAGAGCUGGCAGGCAGGGUGCUUGGUCGGAUGUAAGCCUGCUAGCUCGAGUUGCUGGACGGUUGUGGGUUAAUUUUCGAGAAGGCAUGCCUCUCGUGAUGUCCUGGUCGAGCAUCACGGCCACGUUGCGUAGGAUCUCGAACCUAGACAAGCGCAACGUGGUUACUGCCGGAUGUUGUCGUUCGAUAUGCGACGACGAAGACAUCAGGUAUCGACCUCAACCGAAAAAUUCCAAGCACCCGGACCCGACGAUGAAGAUCAAGACCCUGUCCCAAAGCACCAAAGUGCCAACGAUUUGGAUCAUGACUGCGAUCCCAAAAACCCAGGAGCCGACGAUUUGGAUCCUGACCCUGACCCAAAGCGACAAGGAGCCGACGAUUUGGAUCAACACCCCGAUCCCAAGCACCAAGGAGCCGACGAUUUGGAUCAAGUCCUACAUCCCAAGCACCAAGGUGCUUGGUUGAUUUGGAUCACGAUCCCGAUCCGGAGCUCCAGGGCGCCGAGGAUUUCGAUCAAGAUCCUGAUCUGAAGCACCAAGGAGCCGAGGAUAUGGAUCAAGACCCCGAUCUGAAGCGACAAGGAGGAAAGGAUUUAGAUCAAGACUCCGAUCACAAGCACCAAGGCGCCGAGGAAUUGGAUCAAAGAUCCCGAUCCCAAUCAACAAGUAGGCUAUGUUAUUUUCUGUUUUCCACACCGUUCAGGGCAUUUUGGUGGUUGUAUCGGCUUUUUGUUGCUUGCUUGGCGUUAGUGCCAAGGGAGUGGCUGGAAGCUAGGUCGUCCUCUGGGAUGCUUGUUGUAAAGGUGUAUGAGUUGUGUUUGGCUUGUUACGGGUGUUUGUUGGCUGCUUGUGCAGGAACUUUCAUGCGUUCAAGCCUCUUCAGUUGUGCUACAAGGCCUUGUUUGUCUUGUGCUGACGGUGGGUUUCCUGUGUUGCAUACCUAAUCAAGGGCAUCGUAUGGCUCGAUCGAAGUACAUAUUCGUAAUAUGCCGCUUGCGGCGUUGAACGAACCUUGAAGCGGUCUCUGUGGCCCAUGUUGUCUUUUGCUCACGCAUGGAUGGCAUGGCCCUCGGAGCGUCGCUUGGUCUCUUGGAUACGGAACCUGAUGAUGUGGGCGGUAGGGUCUUUGAUGAUUCUACCUUUGCCUUCCAUGAGCGUUCUCGCUUCUCUAAACGACCGUCUGUCAUGCGUCGGCAUGUCCGUGCAUGGUGGGCUUAGUCGAAGAGGAAUGCUAC